GACGAACGCUGGCGGCGUGCUUAACACAUGCAAGUCGAACGGAAAGGCUCCAGCUUGCUGGAGUACUCGAGUGGCGAACGGGUGAGUAACACGUGGGUAAUCUGCCCUGCACUCUGGGAUAAGCCUGGGAAACUGGGUCUAAUACUGGAUAUGACCUUUCUCCUUAUGGGGUUUGGUGGAAAGUUUUUCGGUGUAGGAUGAGCCCGCGGCCUAUCAGCUUGUUGGUGGGGUGAUGGCCUACCAAGGCGACGACGGGUAGCCGGCCUGAGAGGGUGGUCGGCCACAUUGGGACUGAGAUACGGCCCAGACUCCUACGGGAGGCAGCAGUGGGGAAUAUUGCACAAUGGGCGGAAGCCUGAUGCAGCGACGCCGCGUGAGGGAUGACGGCCUUCGGGUUGUAAACCUCUUUCAGCAGGGACGAAGCGUAAGUGACGGUACCUGCAGAAGAAGCACCGGCUAACUAUGUA
This 467-nucleotide ribosomal RNA is filed under the name uncultured bacterium. RNAcentral's name for it is "partial 16S ribosomal RNA". It matches the Rfam family "Bacterial small subunit ribosomal RNA", at positions 28 to 507 of the family's 1533-position model. The record is from RNAcentral.